CCCAGGUCCCGGAGGGCAUCAGCCCGCUAAUUCCGUCAGGACCCCGAAGGUAGCAGCGGCAUGUGGUGUCUAAUGUUGCUUCGUCAGACCUGGGGCA
RNAcentral lists this signal recognition particle RNA (97 nucleotides) under Gemmatimonadaceae bacterium. RNAcentral's name for it is "signal recognition particle sRNA small type". It matches the Rfam family "Bacterial small signal recognition particle RNA". From Rfam's summary of the family: The signal recognition particle (SRP) is a universally conserved ribonucleoprotein involved in the co-translational targeting of proteins to membranes. Archaeal SRP consists of a 7S RNA and homologues of the eukaryotic SRP19 and SRP54 proteins. Lineage: Bacteria; Pseudomonadati; Gemmatimonadota; Gemmatimonadia; Gemmatimonadales; Gemmatimonadaceae. The record is from RNAcentral. RNAcentral also lists the same sequence under 1 other name.